CCGAGUGGCGGACGGGUGAGUAACGCGUGGGUAACCUGCCUCAUACAGGGGGAUAACGGUUAGAAAUGACUGCUAAUACCGCAUAAGCGCACAGUACCGCAUGGUACGGUGUGAAAAACUCCGGUGGUAUGAGAUGGACCCGCGUCUGAUUAGCUAGUUGGUGGGGUAACGGCCUACCAAGGCGACGAUCAGUAGCCGACCUGAGAGGGUGACCGGCCACAUUGGGACUGAGACACGGCCCAA
This 243-nucleotide ribosomal RNA is filed under the name uncultured bacterium. Its description in RNAcentral is "partial 16S ribosomal RNA". It matches the Rfam family "Bacterial small subunit ribosomal RNA", at positions 91 to 334 of the family's 1533-position model. The record is from RNAcentral.